Molecule: transfer RNA, 69 nt
Filed under: Episymploce forficula
Lineage: Eukaryota; Metazoa; Arthropoda; Insecta; Blattodea; Blattellidae
Description: tRNA-Tyr
Rfam family: tRNA
About the family: Transfer RNA (tRNA) molecules are approximately 80 nucleotides in length. Their secondary structure includes four short double-helical elements and three loops (D, anti-codon, and T loops). Further hydrogen bonds mediate the characteristic L-shaped molecular structure. tRNAs have two regions of fundamental functional importance: the anti-codon, which is responsible for specific mRNA codon recognition, and the 3' end, to which the tRNAs corresponding amino acid is attached (by aminoacyl-tRNA synthetases). tRNAs cope with the degeneracy of the genetic code in two manners: having more than one tRNA (with a specific anti-codon) for a particular amino acid; and 'wobble' base-pairing, i.e. permitting non-standard base-pairing at the 3rd anti-codon position.
Source: RNAcentral
AGUAGAAUGGCUGAGAUUUUAAGGUGAUAGAUUGUAAAUCUAUAAAGGAGUAUUAUAACUCUUCUACUA